GACGAACGCUGGCGGCGUGCCUAAUACAUGCAAGUUGGGCGCUGAAGGUUGGUACUUGUACCAACUGGAUGAGCAGCGAACGGGUGAGUAACGCGUGGGGAAUCUGCCUUUGAGCGGGGGACAACAUUUGGAAACGAAUGCUAAUACCGCAUAAAAACUUUAAACACAAGUUUUAAGUUUGAAAGAUGCAAUUGCAUCACUCAAAGAUGAUCCCGCGUUGUAUUAGCUAGUUGGUGAGGUAAAGGCUCACCAAGGCGAUGAUACAUAGCCGACCUGAGAGGGUGAUCGGCCACAUUGGGACUGAGACACGGCCCAAACUCCUACGGGAGGCAGCAGUAGGGAAUCUUCGGCAAUGGACGAAAGUCUGACCGAGCAACGCCGCGUGAGUGAAGAAGGUUUUCGGAUCGUAAAACUCUGUUGGUAGAGAAGAACGUUGGUGAGAGUGGAAAGCUCAUCAAGUGACGGUAACUACCCAGAAAGGGACGGCUAACUACGU
This 496-nucleotide ribosomal RNA is filed under the name uncultured bacterium. RNAcentral's name for it is "partial 16S ribosomal RNA". It matches the Rfam family "Bacterial small subunit ribosomal RNA", at positions 28 to 506 of the family's 1533-position model. The record is from RNAcentral.